Molecule: long non-coding RNA, 342 nt
Filed under: Ananas comosus (pineapple)
Lineage: Eukaryota; Viridiplantae; Streptophyta; Magnoliopsida; Poales; Bromeliaceae
Description: long non-coding RNA (ACOM_LNC039723)
Source: RNAcentral
GGUUCGCACGUGAGCGGCGCGGCGGCGCGAGGAAAGGGCGUAGAUCCAUAGAUAGCGCCCUACCCAGAGACCAGAGCUAGCAGUACCCCAUUGACAUAGCUUAGGGGUAUGGGGAAAGAAAAGAACCCAAUGUAUCAAAUUGUACUAAGUAGACGAUGUAAUAACUUAGAUUGUAUUUGGAGGAAUCAAAUGAGAACUGUGAUGUAAAAAUGUAUGAAUGUGAGUGUAUGUAAUAAUAUAGGAUGUGUUAUGUUGUUGAUACCUUCCUUAUGCAAUCUGUUUGUUAAAUACUGUUCCUGAUUGGAACCUUUGUAUUGUAUUGAUUGCGAUGCCUUGAACGUA